CUGAAAGACGGUGAAUUAUGCCAGGGCAGGGAAAAGCCCGAGUAAACUCUGAUAGAAGUCCAUAGUGGUCUAGAAGUGCAAAUCAGUCACCCGACCUGGGUAUAGGAGGGAAAGACUGAAUCGAAUUGUCUAGUAGCUG
Molecule: non-coding RNA, 139 nt
Filed under: Rattus norvegicus (Norway rat)
Lineage: Eukaryota; Metazoa; Chordata; Mammalia; Rodentia; Muridae
Description: Eukaryotic large subunit ribosomal RNA
Rfam family: Eukaryotic large subunit ribosomal RNA
Source: Rfam by way of RNAcentral